RNAcentral lists this ribosomal RNA (404 nucleotides) under uncultured bacterium. RNAcentral describes it as "bacterial SSU rRNA". It matches the Rfam family "Bacterial small subunit ribosomal RNA", at positions 355 to 776 of the family's 1533-position model. The record is from RNAcentral.
UGGGGAAUAUUGGACAAUGGGGGAAACCCUGAUCCAGCGACGCCGCGUGAGUGAAGAAGUAUUUCGGUAUGUAAAGCUCUAUCAGCAGGGAAGAAAAUGACGGUACCUGACUAAGAAGCCCCGGCUAACUACGUGCCAGCAGCCGCGGUAAUACGUAGGGGGCAAGCGUUAUCCGGAUUUACUGGGUGUAAAGGGAGCGUAGACGGUAAUGCAAGUCUGGAGUGAAAUGCAGGGGCUCAACCCCUGAACUGCUUUGGAAACUGUAUGACUGGAGUGCAGGAGAGGUAAGUGGAAUUCCUAGUGUAGCGGUGAAAUGCGUAGAUAUUAGGAGGAACACCAGUGGCGAAGGCGGCUUACUGGACUGUAACUGACGUUGAGGCUCGAAAGCGUGGGGAGCAAACAGG